UACGUAGGGGGCUAGCGUUGUCCGGAAUCAUUGGGCGUAAAGAGCGCGUAGGCGGCCAGAUAAGUCCGGUGUGAAAGUCACAGGCUCAACCUGUGAAUGCCGCUGGAAACUGUCUGGCUAGAGUCCGGAAGGGGCGAGUGGAAUUCCUGGUGUAGCGGUGAAAUGCGCAGAUAUCAGGAGGAACACCAAUGGCGAAGGCAGCUCGCUGGGACGGUACUGACGCUGAGGCGCGAAAGCAUGGGGAGCGAACAGG
Molecule: ribosomal RNA, 253 nt
Filed under: uncultured bacterium
Lineage: Bacteria
Description: partial 16S ribosomal RNA
Rfam family: Bacterial small subunit ribosomal RNA
Source: RNAcentral